CAAAUGUAUUAGGAGUUGUAAA
This 22-nucleotide small nuclear RNA is filed under the name Arabidopsis thaliana (thale cress). Its description in RNAcentral is "snRNA_07591". Lineage: Eukaryota; Viridiplantae; Streptophyta; Magnoliopsida; Brassicales; Brassicaceae. The record is from RNAcentral.